Molecule: long non-coding RNA, 224 nt
Filed under: Elaeis guineensis (African oil palm)
Lineage: Eukaryota; Viridiplantae; Streptophyta; Magnoliopsida; Arecales; Arecaceae
Description: long non-coding RNA (EGUI_LNC019469)
Source: RNAcentral
AACAAUGAGGUGGCGGUGAUGGUAGUCACUAACUGGCAUGACAAUGAUUAGCGGGAUUAGCAUUUGAAAAAAAUUACAAAUCUGACUCAGAAAUGAUACAUAUUUUGUAGUGAAGUAUCUCAGCAUCUCUCAGAUGGUAGCCCGUAAGUUGAGCAGAAUGGAGGAAAAGGAUUCAUGGAAGCAACCCUAACAAAUUAAGGAUCAAGGCUUAGUUGAGUUGUUGC